GACGAACGCUGGCGGCGUGCCUAACACAUGCAAGUCGAACGGAGUUAAGAGAGCUUGCUUUCUUGACUUAGUGGCGAACGGGUGAGUAACGCGUGAGGAAUCUGCCUUUCAGUGGGGGACAACAGUUAGAAAUGGCUGCUAAUACCGCAUAAGCACACAGGGCCGCAUGGCCCGGUGUGAAAAACUCCGGUGGUAUAAGAUGGACCCGCGUCUGAUUAGCUGGUUGGUGGGGUAACGGCCCACCAAGGCGACGAUCAGUAGCCGGCCUGAGAGGGUGAACGGCCACAUUGGGACUGAGACACGGCCCAG
This 309-nucleotide ribosomal RNA is filed under the name uncultured bacterium. RNAcentral describes it as "bacterial SSU rRNA". It matches the Rfam family "Bacterial small subunit ribosomal RNA", at positions 28 to 334 of the family's 1533-position model. The record is from RNAcentral.